Molecule: long non-coding RNA, 4690 nt
Filed under: Vitis vinifera (wine grape)
Lineage: Eukaryota; Viridiplantae; Streptophyta; Magnoliopsida; Vitales; Vitaceae
Description: long non-coding RNA (VVIN_LNC005426)
Source: RNAcentral
UUCAACCGAUCAUCAAUGAACCACAUCAAAUCGCUAGAAUCUUUGAUGCUCAUAUCCUGCAACCCCUUCUCCCCAGCCUGGCACUGGUACAUGAGGUUUUCCAUCUCUAUUCUCCUGUUCUUCUUCUGUUGUUUUACCAGCUGGUCCUUAGCUUUGGCCACCCUCUGCCUCAUAUAGUUUUAUUGGUUUAACCUCUUCUUGGUCUGGUCGUUCUCUGGCUUGCACUUGAACUCCCUGAUCAUCCGUACUGUCUCCAUUGGAGUUUAAAGCUUUUAAAUUUCCAUGAAUGUGUAAACAGUGGGAGAAGAGCUUUUCCAUUGAUUUUCUAUUCAAGUUGGGCAUAGAGAAGUGUUUUUUAAUUUUUUCUGCAUGAAAUGUUGAAAUUGUUUCUAUGUGUAGAUUACAAUAUAUUAUCUCCCAAAGUCAUGUGUCUCCUAAAAAGCACUCUCAUGUAGGUGAUUUUUUUUUAUUUUUUUUUUUGAGAAUUAAUGGAGUUAUUAUGUUUGGAGUCGGAGUUCCUUUUUUUUACUUUAUUUGUUCUAUAGACACCACAAAAUGAGGGCAUGGCAAAUUUUUCCUGUUGCUUAAUUCAUUCAUCAACCAAAAAGGUUUUUCCAAUCUCUUAAAUCUAAAAAGGAGUGCUCUACCAUUCUUGGUUGAGUUAGAAAACGAUGUUCUACUCUAAUAAUAUUCUGUUAGGCAACCAUUUGGUCUCUUUCCCUUUUAGGUUUCUUUCUUUUUUGUGUUCUUGAAUAGUAUCUCUACUUUAAUGCAACUAGUAAUGAGAAAUUGUAAUAUUUGUAGGGAACAUUGGCUGAUAUAUUUCUAAGGGGCACCAUUUUAAUGACAAAUACUUGAGGGAUGACAUCUUUGGUAAGAGCUCCUUCCUUGCCUCCAUUUGUGUCAUUUUCCCAAGUGUUAUCAUAAUUGUCUUGCUUGAUAGAGCUCCCAUUACAUAUUCUUGGCCAUAACUGGCAUUAGCUUUUCACUCUAAAAAUAAUAAAAUUUAGUAGCAUAAUCACUAGGAAAGAAAACUACACUUACAUUAAAUAGACUAGUUGCAGAAUGUGCAUCAACUGUACUAAAUGGAUCAUCCAAGAGAUAUCCAUUUGCAUCUUAAUAUAAUGCACGUGCCAGUUGAACUCGUUGCUUCUGUCCACAACUCAAAUUAACAUCUCUUUCUCUUAUUCUAGUGAGAUCACUGAAUGGAAGCAUCUCGAUGUCCUUCACUAGGGAAUAGUUUUCAAUCACUUCCCUGUAUCUGUAUGGAUCCAUGGCAGACCCAAAAAGAAUAUUUUCUUGUGUAGUCUCUAUAAUGAUCCAUGCUGCCUGAGAGACAUAAGCCUUCUUUCCAUAUACUUAAACCUAGCAAAUAUGAGUCUAGAAACCAUAUUACUUUUCUAUACUAUCAAUCAACCAUUCUGCUUAAUCAAUGUAUUUACAAAUUUCCUAUCCGACCUGGACCCUUGGGAAAACUUCAAAUUAUCUUCUUUGAAUUUUUAGAUAAAAAAAGACGUCCUAAUAAUUUGUCACUCUUGUCAGCUACUAUAUAUGGUUGUGUCCUUCCUCAUUCUUUGAUUUCAUUUUCUUUCCUACCUAGAUUUUAAAAAGUUUUAUUAAAAAAACCCUUUUCUUUAGUUUAUUCAAAAUAUUUUAUAUUUAAUAGUGAAAAGUAUUAUUAACACUAAAAAAAUAAUUAAUUAGAUUUAUAUUAGCAAAAGAAACCUCUAAAUUAAGUUUACGUUUGGAAGUACUUUUUGUUUUUCAAAUUAGAAAUUUUAUAUAAAAAUAGAAUAUUGUGUAUGAAACAUAGAUAUUUAUCUUUUCUUUUUUUUUUUUUUUAAAGAAAAAUGAUUUUUAGAAAUUUUAGAAUUUGAGAUAGUAAAUUUUUUUAUAUCUUAAUUUUUAAAAUUUUUUUUUUUUUCAAGAUAAUUUUUUUUUUUUAAAGAAAAAAAAAGUUUUAGAAAUUUUAGAGUUUGAGAUAGUAAAUUUUUUUAUAUCUUACUUUUUAAAUUUAUUAUUUUUUUCAAGGUAAUUCUUUAAGAGUUUUUUUUUUAUCUUAUAUAAAUAUUAUUACUAUUUUCUAGUUUUAAAAAUAAAAAUAAAAAGUGUACUAUAGAAACAAACAUUAAUUUGUUAUAAAAAAAAUAUAAAUUAAAUAUAUCCAUUUUUCUCACAUCUUUAAACACACUCCAUUUUGCUAAACCCCUAAAGAAAGUUUCCAAUUUUUAGCAUAAAUAAUUGUGAGCUACCUAUAUUGAAAUUGACUUCUUAUAGGGGUUCUGUUUUCCGUACAUCCACCGUACUUGGACUCCCUCAAACACAUCUACCACCUCCUCAUGACCAUCAAUGCCCCACCAUGGAUCCCAUUUUCUCAAACAUAUCUCUACUUUCCAUACCAUUCUCUCUUCCAAUUUUCUUCUACUCCUCUUAUAUCUAAGAAUGGUUGGUGUAGACAUAGAGAAGGAUUGGUAAUCCUUAUUAGAAUUUGUUUUCCAUUACUAUUUUGAGUUGGAAUCAUCCUCUUUUAGACCAUGUUUUAGAUUUUUAUUUGGUUCUAGCUUUAUUACCAUUUUUUUAUGUUAUGAUUUGUGUGAAAAAAUAUUUGUAAAAAUGCUUCCUUGAAAAUAAAUUUGGAGCUAUUUAGAAUAUUUAUAAUUAUAAUAAAUUUGUGAAAAUAAAUUAUUAUAAUAACCAAAAAUAGUGUCCCUUUUGUAAACUUCUGCUUUGCUUAAUGGAUACGUGGAGAACGUAAUGGAAAAAAAUUAUUACAGCCAAUCCAGAACCCCCUAAAUAUAAUUCCAAUUUCCAAUAGAAAAUGAGGAAGAAAACCAAAUCCCAUUCUCUUUAUAACUUAUACUACUCUCUUGUAAGGAUGAUAAUGCCCAUCUGUCUUGCUAUUAAUUAUAUAUUGAUUAUGCUAUUAAUUAUGUUUGUUGUACUGUUAAGAUAAAUUGGAAUUCAAAAAACCUUCCUUUGUCAAUGUUGCACAUUCGAUGAGGUCUAUUACUAUUAGACGAUGCCUAAUUGAAUAUUUUAAUGGACUAUUGAUGUUGAUAUUCUCUUGUCCCAAACUUGAUUUGUUUUUCUAUUUUCUUUUGGGAUAUACUAAAGAUUUAAUGGAUUAUUGAUGUUAAUGGUCUCUUGUCCCGUAUUUGAUUAAUCUCUUGCUUUGUGUUUUAACUAUUGAUAAUAAUUUUUUUGUAAUUAUUCUUAGGGUCACAUAUGUCAAUUGGUAUACACAUUUGUUUUCCUAUUAUAUUUUUAUUGUCAUUUCUUUAAUUACCAUCUUAUGUAUGCAGAUGCCCUCAUUUCAGUCUAGUAAGAGUUGUAGAUCACAGUUUGACGAUUCUCAUAUGUUCUCAUCUCAUGAUAAGUAAUUUCUUCCUCCAUAGUAAUAGAAGAUAAUAGUUUUAUACAUAAACUAUUUCAAUAUAACAAAUCAAAUUAUUACAUCAUCACCAAUGUUGUUACAUGGAGAAGUUAUGUUUGUUAUUGUUGUAUGAAGAAGAAGCAUGUAAUUUGUGAACUCAAUAAAUCAAAUUAUUAUAUGAUUAUCAUCAAUGUUGUCAUUAUUAUUGUUGUUGUUGCAUAGAGAAGUUGUUAUUGUUAUAUGUUUGGACUAAACAAUUCAAAUUAUUACUAAUAUAAUUAUCACCAUUGAUCAUCAAUGUUAUUGUUAUUGUUGUUGUUGUUGUUACAUGGAGAAAUUGUUAUUGUUGUAUGGAGAAGUUGUUAUUGUUGUUAGAGAAGUUGUUGUUGGAUGGAGGGAUGGUAGAGAGCUUUUUUUGUGUAGGGUUAAUUAUUAUAUUUUGGUUAUAAUUUUGGAAUUGGAAAUAAAGGCAAGUUUUAGAAUGGUUGUUAUUAUGACAUUCAACCAAUGAUUUGUAGGUUUCUAUUUCCUUGGUUUUGCUCUAUUAAUUUUUAGUUUAAUACUCUUUUUUUCCUUAUGGAAUGUUAUUAGUCAACUAAAUUUGAUAAUAUAGGAAAGUUGUAAGAAGAAAUUAAGGCAUUUACAAGUGGUUGAUAUUAAAUGUCUUAUAUUACUAGAUAUGAUGAUUUAUGAUUGAAACUAAUUAUAAACCAUACCUAUUGGUAUCUUCAUAUAUUUAUUAAUGAGAAAUGAGUUUCAUAUGUUAGACAUGAUAAGAAAAUAUUAUAUUACAUUCCAUAUUGUAGAAUUUAUACAAUUGAAAGUCUAACUUGUUUCCUCUAACUUAAUAAUGAACUAAAAGUCUAUUAAUAUUUUAUAAACAAGUGUCAAAUUAAACAAUUUUUCAUCUUCAUUAAUUGAAGCAUAACAUCUCAUUAAAUACCAAGUUAUUCUUAUUUGCACUUCUUUCAUGGGCCAUUUAUAGAUUUAAAUUUAACUUUCAUUGCAUGUAUAUUAACUAAUCAUAAUUUGUUUCUUCUAUUAAUUCUUUUUUUAAAUGUAUACAGGUAAAAGAUUUCAAGUUCAGGAGUGGAUAUGCAACCAACAGAAAUACUUUUGGCUAGAAAUACUUAUGGCUUCUUCUUCUUCUUCUUGUAAUAUUAUUUUUGAUAAGGAAUUUAGAGACCUUGUUUUUUGGUACAUGUGUACUUGUUUUAUGUUGAAGUUGGAAAAUAUGCUUGUAAAUAUUUUAAUACAUUUACAAAUUUGCAUAUUAAUUAACUAUAUAGACAUUAGUUCUUUAUCAUGAUAUUAUUC